CCUACGGGUGGCAGCAGUAGGGAAUAUUGCUCAAUGGGGGAAACCCUGAAGCAGCAACGCCGCGUGGGGGAUGAAGGUUUUCGGAUUGUAAACUCCUUUUGUUAGAGAAGAUAAUGACGGUAUCUAACGAAUAAGCACCGGCUAACUCCGUGCCAGCAGCCGCGGUAAUACGGAGGGUGCACGCGUUACUCGGAAUCACUGGGCGUAAAGGGCGCGGAGGCGGGAUAGCAAGUCAGAUGUGAAAGCCUAUGGCUUAACCAUAGAACUGCAUUUGAAACUGUUAUUCUAGAGUAUGGGAGAGGUAGGUGGAAUUCUUGGUGUAGGGGUAAAAUCCGUAGAGAUCAAGAGGAAUACUCAUUGCGAAGGCGACCUGCUAGAACAUAACUGACGCUGAUGCGCGAAAGCGUGGGGAGCAAACAGGAUUAGAUACCCGAGUAGUC
RNAcentral lists this ribosomal RNA (440 nucleotides) under uncultured bacterium. RNAcentral's name for it is "partial 16S ribosomal RNA". It matches the Rfam family "Bacterial small subunit ribosomal RNA", at positions 338 to 795 of the family's 1533-position model. The record is from RNAcentral.